CAGAUUCAAUAGGAGUUGAUGUAAAGCAGUAAUUUAACCUUCUAAAUAAUUUUUAUGCAGCAGAGAGAGAGAGUGGGAGGACCCUUGUAGGUUGCUUAUGAUAUUGAGCAUACCAGCAAAUGUCAGGAGGACUGCCCCACCUUCUGACUAGAUAAUAUUUAAAAAUUGUAUCUUGUAACAACAAGUAUGGCAUCAUUGACAAAUUCAGACAUCAAACAGCAAUAAUGCAGUUCUUUCCCUGUGUCCCAGCUGGUCCUUAGAUCUGCCUCUCUUGUGUUGGUCUUGUGUUGACUGUAUGUACUCCUCAGGGAUUUGGUGGAACUAAAGACAGAGAUGGGCACGACAUUGCUGAACUGAUGGACAGCCAUAGCAGCAGCAGCAACUCCUGCAGAAAUGAAUAUAUUACAUCCAGUUUCAAUUCUAAGCUGUAGUCAUUUCACUUCUUUAAUGAAUUAUAAAACUGUUGACUACCAAAGUAAGGGUAUAAUCUGGAUUCAAAGGAAACUGGCUAUGCUCUUUAUCAGCAAUAUUGACAAGCUUCUAGCUAAAGUAACAAAACUGACCUCUCUCCCUCUCCUCUCUUGCAAAUGAAGAAUAAAAUCCCCAAACAAUAGAUACAUUAGAUUCUUUACUCUUAAUGGCAAAUGAAUUUACCAAAGGCUUCCAGGAAUUCUUCUACAUCAGAAGUUGACUUAGUUCUUAAAUUUUUUGGAAGGCUAAAUAUUUAUCUCUUAUGUUUAUGAGUUUGGUUUAAUAGUUUCUUUGUUAUUAUUCAUGGUUUUCAGGUAAUAGAUGAGUUAGUAAAUUAGCGUCAGACUAGACACUUUAAGAUCUAGUUACAUUUUGGUAUCACAUUUCUUUGAUCAAAUCUCUGUGGAGGUGACUUUGUUUUUGCAUCAAAUACACUUAUUGGUUUAGUAUAGUAACAAGUUGAUCAACCUUCUCUUAUUUAAAGAUAAUGUUCUUUGAAAGAAAAAAAAUUGUUGUUUAGUCCCAGCUCAAUGGUAUUUCAGCAGACCUAUAAUCAAAGGCAUUUCAGCUGUGACCAUCUCUUUCAUUUAAUAGUAUUUAUGACUGCUUUGUCUCUUGUGCCCCACCUUUUUAAAGAUAGUGUGUGAUUUGCUGUUUUUGUCAUAACAUAACCUUUCCCCAGAUUUCUGUUUGCUUGAUCAGACCUAUGGCCCAGAAGUAACCGAUCAAACAUUUAAAGUCAACAAUCUAUUAUCAAGGGUCAAACUUAACCCCUGGAUUAAUGUCCAUGCUAUGGCAUGUUUGUCUUUAUUAUAGCCAUAUUUACUUGACAUUUUGAUUUCAUGCAAUGAUUUUCUCAUGCACUUGUGGUUCCCAUUUUAAAGAUAAUUGUGGCUUUUAUAGCAAGAAAGUUGUUACUCGUAUCAAAACAAUUAUGUGAAGGCUCCAUUUCUAGUGAGCUGUUGUCAUUGUUGUUUAACCCCCAAAUAAGCCCUGAUCCAGUUGCCCUAUUUUAGGUUUUGUUUCUUCAUAUUACACUACUUGUAUUCUUUCCCUAA
Long non-coding RNA from Octopus sinensis (East Asian common octopus), 1529 nucleotides. RefSeq lists it as uncharacterized. The record is from RefSeq and is a predicted model, not a curated record. The transcript is spliced from 3 exons. NCBI's taxonomy places the organism in Eukaryota, Metazoa, Mollusca, Cephalopoda, Octopoda, Octopodidae.